UCCAUGACUCUUGAUGUUAGGAAUAGCAGC
Molecule: non-coding RNA, 30 nt
Filed under: Rattus norvegicus (Norway rat)
Lineage: Eukaryota; Metazoa; Chordata; Mammalia; Rodentia; Muridae
Source: RNAcentral